GACGAACGCUGGCGGCGUGCUUAACACAUGCAAGUCGAACGGAAAGGCCCUGCUUGCAGGGUGCUCGAGUGGCGAACGGGUGAGUAACACGUGGGUGAUCUGCCCCUUACUUUGGGAUAAGCCUGGGAAACUGGGUCUAAUACUGGAUAGGACCAUGCUGUAUGUGGUGUGGUGGAAAGAUUAGUUUCGUUAAGGGAUGAGCUCGCGGCCUAUCAGCUUGUUGGUGGGGUAAUGGCCUACCAAGGCGUCGACGGGUAGCCGGCCUGAGAGGGUGGACGGCCACAUUGGGACUGAGAUACGGCCCAGACUCCUACGGGAGGCAGCAGUGGGGAAUAUUGCACAAUGGGCGCAAGCCUGAUGCAGCGACGCCGCGUGGGGGAUGACGGCCUUCGGGUUGUAAACUCCUUUCAGCCAUGACGAAGCCCUUGUGGUGACGGUAGUGGUAGAAGAAGCACCGGCUAACUACGUG
Molecule: ribosomal RNA, 469 nt
Filed under: uncultured bacterium
Lineage: Bacteria
Description: partial 16S ribosomal RNA
Rfam family: Bacterial small subunit ribosomal RNA
Source: RNAcentral